AGAGUUUGAUCAUGGCUCAGAGUGAACGCUGGCGGCAGGCCUAAUACAUGCAAGUCGAACGGCAGCACAGCAGAGCUUGCUCUGUGGGUGGCGAGUGGCGGACGGGUGAGGAAUACGUGGGAAUCUGCCCAGUCGUGGGGGAUAACGUAGGGAAACUUACGCUAAUACCGCAUGCGCCCUUCGGGGGAAAGCCCGGGGACCUUCGGGCCUGGCGCGAUUGGAUGAGCCCACGUCGGAUUAGCUAGUUGGCGGGGUAAAGGCCCACCAAGGCGACGAUCCGUAGCUGGUCUGAGAGGAUGAUCAGCCACACUGGAACUGAGACACGGUCCAGACUCCUACGGGAGGCAGCAGUAGGGAAUAUUGGACAAUGGGCGCAAGCCUGAUCCAGCCAUGCCGCGUGAGUGAAGAAGGCCCUCGGGUUGUAAAGCUCUUUUGUCCGGAAAGAAAAGCGCCGGGUUAAUACCCUGGUGUCCUGACGGUACCGGAAGAAUAAGCACCGGCUAACUUCGUG
Molecule: ribosomal RNA, 511 nt
Filed under: uncultured bacterium
Lineage: Bacteria
Description: bacterial SSU rRNA
Rfam family: Bacterial small subunit ribosomal RNA
Source: RNAcentral